This 253-nucleotide ribosomal RNA is filed under the name uncultured bacterium. RNAcentral describes it as "partial 16S ribosomal RNA". It matches the Rfam family "Bacterial small subunit ribosomal RNA", at positions 524 to 777 of the family's 1533-position model. The record is from RNAcentral.
UACAGAGGGUGCGAGCGUUAAUCGGAAUUACUGGGCGUAAAGCGUGCGUAGACGGUUAUUUAAGUCGGGUGUGAAAGCCCCGGGCUCAACCUGGGAAUUGCAUUCGAGACUGAAUAGCUAGGGUACGGUAGAGGGAAGCGGAAUUUCCGGUGUAGCGGUGAAAUGCGUAGAUAUCGGAAGGAACAUCAGUGGCGAAAGCGGCUUCCUGGACCAGUACCGACGUCAGGCACGAAAGCGUGGGGAGCAAACAGGA